GACGAACGCUGGCGGCGUGCUUAACACAUGCAAGUCGAACGGAAAGGCCUCUUUCGGGGGGUGCUCGAGUGUCGAACGGGUGAGUAACACGUGAGUAACCUGCCCUUGACUUUGGGAUAACUUCAGGAAACUGGGGCUAAUACCGGAUAGGAGCCCCUGCUGCAUGGUGGGGGUUGGAAAGUUUCGGCGGUUGGGGAUGGACUCGCGGCUUAUCUCCUUGUUGGUGGGGUAGUGGCUUACCAAGGCUUUGAAGGGUAGCCGGCCUGGGAGGGUGACCGGCCACAAUGGGAAUGAGAUACGGACCAGACUCCUACGGGAGGCAGCAGGGGGGAAUAUUGCACAAUGGGUGGGAGCCUGAUGCAGCAACGCCGUGUGCGGGAAGACGGCCUUCGGGUUGUAAACCGCUUUCGCUCAGGACGAAGCUGUGUGUGACGGUAGUGGGUAAAGAAGCACCGGCUAACUACGUG
RNAcentral lists this ribosomal RNA (467 nucleotides) under uncultured bacterium. RNAcentral describes it as "partial 16S ribosomal RNA". It matches the Rfam family "Bacterial small subunit ribosomal RNA", at positions 28 to 507 of the family's 1533-position model. The record is from RNAcentral.